This 179-nucleotide unclassified non-coding RNA is filed under the name rhizosphere metagenome. Its description in RNAcentral is "partial ribosomal RNA internal transcribed spacer region". The record is from RNAcentral.
GAAUACAGAUGCCUGUCGAGCUUGCUCACGGGCUUUCUAUCAUAUCCAUAACACCUGUGCACUUGUUGGAUGUCUAGAGACGUAAAGUCGACAGUCAUCCACUUACACUAAACAAUAAUGUAACAAAUGUAGUCUUAUUAUAACAAAAUAAAACUUUCAACAACGGAUCUCUUGGCUCU